This 161-nucleotide ribosomal RNA is filed under the name Amanita ballerina. Its description in RNAcentral is "5.8S ribosomal RNA". It matches the Rfam family "5.8S ribosomal RNA". From Rfam's summary of the family: 5.8S ribosomal RNA (5.8S rRNA) is a component of the large subunit of the eukaryotic ribosome. The record is from RNAcentral. Lineage: Eukaryota; Fungi; Basidiomycota; Agaricomycetes; Agaricales; Amanitaceae.
ACAACUUUCAACAACGGAUCUCUUGGCUCUCGCAUCGAUGAAGAACGCAGCGAAAUGCGAUAAGUAAUGUGAAUUGCAGAAUUCAGUGAAUCAUCGAAUCUUUGAACGCACCUUGCGCUCCUUGGUAUUCCGAGGAGCAUGCCUGUUUGAGUGUCAUUAAU